GACGAACGCUGGCGGCGUGCUUAACACAUGCAAGUCGAACGGAAAGGCCCUGCUUGCCGGGUACUCGAGUGGCGAACGGGUGAGUAACACGUGGGUGAUCUGCCCUGCACUUCGGGAUAAGCCUGGGAAACUGGGUCUAAUACCGGAUAGGAGCCAAUUUUAGUGUGAUGGUUGGAAAGUUUUUUCGGUGUAGGAUGAGCUCGCGGCCUAUCAGCUUGUUGGUGGGGUAAUGGCCUACCAAGGCGGCGACGGGUAGCCGGCCUGAGAGGGUGGACGGCCACAUUGGGACUGAGAUACGGCCCAGACUCCUACGGGAGGCAGCAGUGGGGAAUAUUGCACAAUGGGCGCAAGCCUGAUGCAGCGACGCCGCGUGGGGGAUGACGGCCUUCGGGUUGUAAACUCCUUUCGCUAGGGACGAAGCUUUUUGUGACGGUACCUAGAGAAGAAGCACCGGCUAACUACGUG
This 465-nucleotide ribosomal RNA is filed under the name uncultured bacterium. RNAcentral's name for it is "partial 16S ribosomal RNA". It matches the Rfam family "Bacterial small subunit ribosomal RNA", at positions 28 to 507 of the family's 1533-position model. The record is from RNAcentral.